AACGAACGCUGGCGGCAUGCCUAACACAUGCAAGUCGAACGAGACCUUCGGGUCUAGUGGCGCACGGGUGCGUAACGCGUGGGAACCUGCCCUUAGGUUCGGAAUAACUCCCCGAAAGGGGUGCUAAUACCGGAUAAUGUCUUCGGACCAAAGAUUUAUCGCCUUUGGAUGGGCCCGCGUUGGAUUAGCUAGUUGGUAGGGUAAAAGCCUACCAAGGCGACGAUCCAUAGCUGGUCUGAGAGGAUGAGCAGCCACACUGGGACUGAGACACGGCCCAGACUCCUACGGGAGGCAGCAGUGGGGAAUAUUGGAAAAUGGGCGAAAGCCUGAUCCAGCAAUGCCGCGUGAGUGAUGAAGGCCUUAGGGUUGUAAAGCUCGUUUACCCGGGAUGAUAAUGACAGUACCGGGAGAAUAAGCUCCGGCUAACUCCGUG
RNAcentral lists this ribosomal RNA (433 nucleotides) under uncultured bacterium. RNAcentral's name for it is "partial 16S ribosomal RNA". It matches the Rfam family "Bacterial small subunit ribosomal RNA", at positions 29 to 507 of the family's 1533-position model. The record is from RNAcentral.